Molecule: small nuclear RNA, 173 nt
Filed under: Heterocephalus glaber (naked mole-rat)
Lineage: Eukaryota; Metazoa; Chordata; Mammalia; Rodentia; Bathyergidae
Description: U2 spliceosomal RNA
Rfam family: U2 spliceosomal RNA
About the family: U2 is a small nuclear RNA (snRNA) component of the spliceosome (involved in pre-mRNA splicing). Complementary binding between U2 snRNA (in an area lying towards the 5' end but 3' to hairpin I) and the branchpoint sequence (BPS) of the intron results the bulging out of an unpaired adenosine, on the BPS, which initiates a nucleophilic attack at the intronic 5' splice site, thus starting the first of two transesterification reactions that mediate splicing.
Source: Rfam by way of RNAcentral
AUCGCUUCUUGGCCUUUUGGCUAAGAUCAAGUGUAGAUAACAUUAUAGAUCACAUCAAAAUGACAGGCAAAAAUAUUAUGAUCAUCUCAACAGGGACUGAUAAAGGUACAAAUAUUUAAUUUCUCUAUAGGGCUGGAGAAGUAGUUCAGUGGUAGAACACUUUCCUAGCAUAC